Molecule: non-coding RNA, 31 nt
Filed under: Mus musculus (house mouse)
Lineage: Eukaryota; Metazoa; Chordata; Mammalia; Rodentia; Muridae
Source: RNAcentral
UCACACACAAUAUAAGAAACAAUACAGAUGC